Molecule: long non-coding RNA, 4605 nt
Filed under: Selaginella moellendorffii
Lineage: Eukaryota; Viridiplantae; Streptophyta; Lycopodiopsida; Selaginellales; Selaginellaceae
Description: long non-coding RNA (SMOE_LNC001886)
Source: RNAcentral
UCACCACACUUUCACUUCUCUUAUAAUCCACAGGUUUUACUCUUAGAGUGGCAGCAAUAGCGAUGGACAAAAUUCGUCUGGCUUGCCUUGGGCUUGUUGCCAUGUUUGUGUUGCUCCUGGUAAUGGGAGUGGACGUGGGAGGAAUCGCAAACGCUGCUGCCCAGCGCUGCCAGUCGGGGUGGUAUUGGUAUGACAAUGGUUGCCACCGUUGCCCGAGGGGUUCGAGCUGGCGCAACAAUCGCUGCUGGAGAAACUGAAGCCUCUGCUUUUAAGGGUAAGCGCAAUUCUCAAUUCAACUCGUAAUCUCUAUGAGUGCAUUGCCAGGGUCUGGAAAUAAGAAUAAAAGACACCGGACGGUAACAUGUUUGUGUGGAACAAAUAAAAUUUUUUUUUGUCUUUUUCUUUCUUUUUUUUCUUUUUUGCUUCAUCUCGAGAGUUUUGAGCUCCCGUGGCAAUACUUCCUCAUCGUCUAGCAACCUUUCUUCUUGGUUUACAAACUAGAAAAUUAAGCUUUUUGGAUCAAUGGCUCAUCUUCGUGUUGGGAAUGGAACCCAUGUUAUGAGACAACCACAUGAUUUGCAGCUGGAAGUAACUCGCAUGAUGAAGGCGGCUACGAACGCAUUAUCGAGCAACAUCAGGUUCGAGAUAGUCGGAGGACCUCUUUCUUUUCGAUUCGGUGCCACAGAUAAUCACGCAAGUAGCAGGAUGACUCAUGCCUCGAGGUGAGACAAUCGAUGCUACUGGCUGAUCGCAAAUUGAUCGACCACGUGGUAGAAGUGAUUCCAAACACUCCAGCCAAAUUUUCAUUAAUAUCAUAUAUUAAAUCGACAAUAAGAGCUGAGGGUGUCUAUAUACUCGAGCAACUAUUGCCUGAUAAAUCUAACCAGAAUUAUAUAACAUUAAAAUAGCAUUAAUAAUGAAAUUAACAUUAUAUUAUAGAGAUAUAUGAGUGUAUACUAUUAAGUCGAUGUGGAACGACGAAAAGCGUAUUAGAAAACCAAAUUGUCAAUAAAUCUGAUCCUUCCCAAGACCAACCGAUGAGCCACAAAGUUACCCACAAACAAUGCACGUGGAAACUUGCUUCGUCGCAAGGUGAGUAUAUAGAUACCCCUCUCAGGAGAGGUUUCCACAAUCUCUCUUCUAACAGAUUCAGUGCUCAGAAGAUCUUCGAAGAAGCUCUCUAAUGCUUAUUUGGUUUCUUGUUCUUUUCGCUUGCAAUAGCGGUCCAGCGAUGAGGAAGAGUCAGUUGGUUUGCCUUGGGCUUGUUGCCAUGUUUGUGAUGAUGCUGGCCAUGGGAGUGGAAGGGGGAGGAAAGGUUGCUGCCCAGCGCUGCCAGAGAGGGUGGUACUGGUAUUACAAUGGUUGUCAUGACUGCCCGAAAUGCUGGUAUUCCAAAGCGGCUGGAGCUGGGCCAAUGGCCGCUGCUGGAAAAACUUAGAUAUCCGUAGUCAUGCCAAAAGUCUAUCAACAUCAUAAUUCGGAAGGUUUUGUUUGAAUGAUGUAAGAUCCUCCUAAAUCCUAAUUAGGAUAAAACGAUUGUUUGUGAUCUGUUUAAUUUCAUCUGGAGUAGAUUCUUGUCUCCAGUCACGGAGCUUUUCUUGCGUGGCAAUUCUUUGGUUGUUAUAUAGCAAACAGAACAGCAAGAAUUAUGUUACUGAUCUUUAAGUUUUUUGCGGUAUUUGGCCAGCGCUGGUGUUCGGAUAAGAUAAGAAUUGCCUGGUCUGCAAGCUCCAAAAACCGAUCAAGCCAAGAGAAUCUGGUGUAUGUGGUUUUGUCCUUUAAAGUCCACAGGAAUGUACUAACACGAACGCAUGUUGUACAAGAGAUCAGGCCAAGUUGGAACAAACGUAUUACUAAAAACUAUAUGAUUUAUCGAAAGAGUGAACAGAAUUACAUAGCUAGCCAAUGGUCAUAUUUUUAUUCUUUCGUUGGUCCAAGUCAAACAGUGUAAAAGUCUGUAAAGAAAAAAACACAUUGGUGGCAACACUGCUCUUCUCGACAAGCUCUCACAGCUCUACAGUCGCUUCCAACUGUAACAGCGUAAAUUCCAGCACACCAGACUUUUCAAGGCCUGUGCGAAUGCAUUGAGAAAGAGGUCUCUGGAAACACCUGCAGUAACGAAGUAAUUUAAGACUUUCGUGCGCUACCGUUUAUGAGAAGCACAGCGAGCUCCAUGAGCAGCAAAGGACCCCCUACAAACAAAGACAUUGAGAAGAUGGAAACAAAAACUAAGAGAGAAAUACCUGUGAGAGUGAGCUCAUGCGAGACAAGCACCACAAUCCUUCCACGCAUAAAAUGUAGGCCAUGGGAAGGAGUAUCGCGCCGCUCCCUCACUCACCAAAAGAAGCCCUAGAAAUCCAAAUGCCGCGACCCCCGAGCUUGAGAAGCGAUCGCAAUCCCACCUUGCGCUUGAUCGCUCCUAUUCCCGUCUAAAGAACAAAGAAAAAGAUCUGCAAUCCUGACCGUUCAAACUCAGCGUUGGCGAUUAUGCCAAGUGGCAACCGAUUUUAACAAAUGCAAACCUUAAUUGAGUCUUUUCAAAUGGUGGGCGCGAAUUGUAAUGAAAGACUUUGGCCUGGAGCCGCGCGGUCUUUGUAUCUAUCCACACACUCUCGACGCUAUAUAAACACCACAUCUCUUACAAUCCCCCACACUCUCUCUAGUGCUCCUUUGUUCUUUCGCUUUGGUUUGCUCUUUCUCUCUUCUCCAAUUCCAAUCAAUCAAUCAAUCGAUUGACCGAUUGCUAUGGCAAGCAGCAAGACUCGAUUGGUGUGCCUGGGCCUGGUUGUGAUGUUUGUGAUGCUCCUGGCGGUGGGAGUGGAGGUCGGGGGGAUCACCAAGGCGGUGGCGCAGCGCUGCCGCAGGGGAUGGUACUGGAAUGGAUCUCGCUGCGUGCAAUGCAAUUGGUACUGGUAUGACAACGGCUGCCAUCGAUGCCAGCGUGGGUGGCGCUGGAAUGGCAGCCGCUGCGUCAAUUAAGGAAAGUUUGUGAGUGAUCUCUGGGGCCUGGAACCAUGGGAGCGAAUGUCGAAUGGGUGAAGAAGUACAUAGAAUAAAACUGUGGCUUCGAAACGGGAAUGUUUUGGAGUCCUUGUGUGAAAUCUAUUCCGAUGUUCAGGCUCUGAGAUUAUCAAUGAUAAAUAUGGUGUGUUUUCUGGAAAGUGGUUGUCGCAGUGUAACGUUCGCAAAAUGCAUGCAUUUUUAAUAUAUAACUUUGCAUGCGAUUUCAUAUAUUCAGCCAACAAACUUUCCAACUGUGCAGAGAAUGACCAAGAAAAUCUUAACAUUGACGUACACUAAAAUAGAAAGAAAGCCAAAUAUUGAGAUUGAAGAACAGGUGGUUCUUCAGAAAUCUGGAAUCAAUCUAUGCAUGGAUGUAAAGCGUCCAGCUUUCGGUAACAUUAUAAAUGUAAACACAACAGUUCCAAAAGCAAUAUAAAUAGCUAAGUGUUUUUGUUUUGUCAAUGAAAAGCUGUUUAUUUUGUCCCGAGACUUUGCCAUCCUAGUCUCGACGUGGAACUUAAAAGAAGAUGCAAAAGCUCUGGCAUGUGACACAGUAGUCAGGAGGCAAAUUUGUCAACGAAUCUGAUCUCUUUUACAGACGAAGUCUAGCAGUUUUACCACAUACGGCACAAUUAUACACACGGAAAUUUGCUCGGUCGUUGCAAGGGACGUAUAUGAAACGCCCCUCUCAAUCGAGACGAAAUCAUCAUUCGUCUGGCUUGCCUUGGGCUUGUUGCCGUGUUUGUGUUGCUCCUGGUAAUGGGAGUGGACGUGGGAGGAAUCGCAAACGCUGCUGCCCAGCGAUGCCGGAGAGGGUGGACAAAGGUUGCCACCACUGCCGAAAGGGUUGGAGCUGGCGCAACAAUCGCUGCUGGAGAAACUGAAGUCUCUGCUUUUAAGGGUAAGCGCAAUUCUCAAUUCAACUCGUAAUCUCUAUGAGUGCAUUGCCAGGGUCUGGAAACAAGAAUAAAAGACACCGGACUGAUGUUUGUAUGGAACAAAUAAAAUAUAUUUUUGUGUUUCUCUUUUUUCUGUUUUUUGCUUCAUCUCUGGAGACACUGAAACUUCAGGUUUUAAGGGGUAAGUGCAAUUCUCAAAUCAACUCGUAAUUUCUAUGAUUUCAUCAUGCUGCACUGUCAGGGUCUGGAAACAAGAAUAAAAGACACUUUGUAUCUUGCAGCAAUAAUAACAUACAUAUAAAACUUUGCUUCAUCUCGAGAGUUGUGAGCUCGGGUGGAAUUACUUCGCAAACUUUCUUUGUUUACAAACUAGAAGAUUAAGCCUUUUAGAUCAAUGUCUCAUCUUCGUGUUGGGAAUGGAACCAUGAGAUAAAGCCACCUGAUUUGCUUUACCGAGUAGAGCUUGCAUGAUGAAGCCGGCCACUGCAUUAUCGAGCAACAUUGGGGGACCUCUUUCGUUUCGCUUGGGUGCCACAGAUAAUCACACAGGUAGCAGGAUGACUCAUGCCUGGUAUCACGAGAGACUUUGCAUGAUCCAAGUGGAAGGCAUGCUUUCUAUCUGCUGCGACCCAGCUCCUGCAAAUUGAUCGACCACAUGGUAGAAGUGAUUCCAAACACUCCAACAUUAUUAGUUGAAAUUUCC